AUUAUUAUUAUAUUCUAUUUUUGAAUUUAAACAAAAAAAAUGAUUUUCGAUAAUUUCCAUAAACUAAUUUUGAAAACAGAAAAAAAAAUUAAUAAAAAAUUACAUUAAACUGACAUUUUGGAUAAGAGCUAGCAACAACCUCAAUUUGAAUUAAGUCUUAUCUUCGAAAUAUUCUAGAGAAAUUCAACCUAAGCUUUCUAAGUUAUAUAUACACCUAAAUCCUAAAGCUGAUACAAUACCCAUCUCAUUCAAUUUACCAAGUCGUCAUUCCCGACUAGUCUUUUGUCGGUAAGCGAUGGUUUUCUUAAUUUGAAACACUAAUCAUUAAACCUUUUCAUGAUUUCUUGUCUUACCCACUCAAUUUCUUUAAACUUUUGCCUCUUGUUGUAAUUAACGAACUAGAAUUUCAUUAAGAGAAGGCGUUGUUUUCUUCUGCCAAAAAGUAGACAUCAUUGAAAUUUAUUUUAAAGAAGGAAAACUAUGGAGUUUGGUGCGUGGAAAUUGCAGACCAAAAGGAGAAAGAUGUUGUAGAUAAUGGGCUACUAGAUUAAUCAAUACUCUAUACUUCUAAAUUUUUUUCUCACCAACACAGUUGACAUAUAAGAGUUCUUUUUUCUUUUCCCUUGUACUACUACUAACUUCGUAUUAGACUAUUAGCUAUACAAGUCAGACUAAUUUAGUUUUAUCAUCUAUUUAUUUGUAGACGGAGGCUAUUAGGUGAACGUUUCGGAGGUUACUUACCUUGAGAUUUACGCACGAUCAAGACUAUGGCACGAGCGUGUAAAACUACAAGAAAGUCGGUUGCUAGGAAGAGUACAAUUGUAUUACCUGAUUCUCUCUAUAGGAUUCGUAUGAAGUACAACGAAGACAUUCGAUGUUAUGUCUACCAUUUGAAUCUUUACAUUGAACAUUUUCAUUACAAUGUACUUGAUGGCGAAUCCAAUUACCUUACUCUGGAGAGACGAUCUCAAAUUUUUUUAUGCACGCUACUUGAAAGGGAACCCUUUGCUCAACUUAAGAAGAAAUAUGUUGAUUUAUACAUUGACGGUGAACCAAAUAAUAAAUACUAUUAUAAUGGAAAAUGGAUCCUUACUGUGGAAUACCUUGAGAAGGCGAUGAUGGGAGCCAAGCGGGAAUUUGACUAUAACUUGGAUGAUGAUGACGAGGAUGAGCCCCAGGAAAAUGUGAGAGUCAGGGGGAAAAUGAUGGUUGAAAAUUUUUAAGUUGCGUUUAGCUUAUUUAGUUAAAACUUUUAUACUACUUUUACAAAUAAAAUCUAGUUUCUUAUGAUUAGAAACUAUAGUAUAGUUUUGGUUUAUUUGUAACUAGUAGUUUAUUGAACUAAUUAGCACUAGUGUGUUAUUUUAAAGAAGAUUUUCAUUC
Long non-coding RNA from Chenopodium quinoa (quinoa), 1383 nucleotides. RefSeq lists it as uncharacterized. Lineage: Eukaryota; Viridiplantae; Streptophyta; Magnoliopsida; Caryophyllales; Amaranthaceae. The transcript has 2 exons. The record is from RefSeq and is a predicted model, not a curated record.